RNAcentral lists this ribosomal RNA (119 nucleotides) under Pteropus alecto (black flying fox). The record is from RNAcentral. Lineage: Eukaryota; Metazoa; Chordata; Mammalia; Chiroptera; Pteropodidae.
GUCUACAGCCACGCUACCCUGAACAAGCCCGAUCCUGUCUGAUCUUGGAAGCUAAGCAGGGUCAGGCCUGGUUAGUACUUGGAUGGGAGACCACCUAGGAAGAGCAGGUGCUGUAGGCA